RNAcentral lists this ribosomal RNA (1350 nucleotides) under Triticum aestivum (bread wheat). Its description in RNAcentral is "partial small subunit ribosomal RNA". The record is from RNAcentral. Lineage: Eukaryota; Viridiplantae; Streptophyta; Magnoliopsida; Poales; Poaceae.
UCGUUUGGCUUUGGCUGGCCGGAAGGGGAGAGCGAGAGCGCAGAGAGCCGCCCGCAAGUGAGAGGCCGCUGCGGCUGGAGGGCAGAGGCCGCUGGCCGACGGCGGGGCGGGAGGGAGAGUUGGCCGAGCCGCCACAAGGUAUCGGACGGUACAGCUUCUUCUCCCCGGAAAGGAACCUCCUCUUCGCCCUCGUUUACGAAGUUUAUAAAAUGCUCUCAGUUCUGAAGAUAGACGAAUUUCUCGAACUCUUCUACCCAGGAUUUUUUCCUCACUAGUCGGUCAGACAAUUCCUACAACACGUUUCGGACCACCUACUACUAGAACAGAACUCUCUGUUUUAUCCUUGAAGACACAUGAAAACCUCAGAAGGGUCAACACGGCCUUUAGUCGACUCCUGAUGGAUGUUGUUCGACCUCAGACUAGAAAGUUUGAGAUUUUUUGCAAUGUACCUCGAAGAACUCGUCUCUCUACUGAACUUUUCUCCGUCCCUUCUGUGACUACUCUCUCUUCUGCGAAACCUCCUCGACUUCCGACAUCUCGAUGCGGUAUUCUUCAAUUUCCUUCUUGAUCGACGGAUACGACUAUCACUAGGUAGACGUGAUCUCCGCUACUUCCUACGAUGACUCCAACGGGUAAGCCGUCGAUUGUCUACCUGUCUGUUGUAGAAGUGAAACGUUGUUACCACAAGUUGAUGUAAGGGCGUUCGUUUUCUUGUCGAACUUGUGUACAUGUUCCUCCACCCGUAUUGACUUCUGAAACUCAUAGACGUCAUUACGAGCUGUCGGACGUAUACGGGAUAACGUAGUAGCACACGUCAGAGGGAGUCGUGCACCACAACCUAGAUCUCAUCAAGUGGGUUUUAACUCCACUCUACGGAACGGAUAGUAACAGCAGUCCUCUCUUACAAGUGAUGCAAUUUUGCCACGAUGUUCUACUUAAACCGUGUACGUAAAUUCUCUAAUCGUUAGACUGCUCCUUCUUUUUCUUCCUAGACUUUAUUCUUCUCUGAACAUACUGUGCAUUGAUUGCGGUGGAACGCUUUCCAUCUUGCCGUGUCCGGAGAGAAUAUAAGAUCAUAUUACCUCCUGCAAGGGCUUAUCUUUAUCCGGAAAGAGAGGUUAUAAGAAAGCGUGGGACCGGCGUUCUUAGACUUAAAACAGAAAACGCAACAACAGUACAAACGAGCCAAUGAUCAAAAGAUUCCGAUGUAAUCCUCAUCAUAAGAUGCAAUCCUCCCUCAUGGAGGAUCUUUUUUUUUGGCAAUAGGUAACAACACUGGUAAACUCCGAAUCAAAACGAUUCCGUGCACUCCCGAAUCAAACAACAACGACAACAUUCGAUACCAGAUUC